GUGCGUCCACAGUAAGGAAACGUGUACCCUAAAAUUUGAAUAAUACUGAGAUUAGCAUGGGCCCCGAGCACGGGUGACAUGCAAUUUCAUCAAGCAUUUCAUAUUUUA
RNAcentral lists this small nuclear RNA (108 nucleotides) under Mus pahari (shrew mouse). Lineage: Eukaryota; Metazoa; Chordata; Mammalia; Rodentia; Muridae. The record is from RNAcentral.